Molecule: ribosomal RNA, 688 nt
Filed under: Priestia aryabhattai
Lineage: Bacteria; Bacillati; Bacillota; Bacilli; Caryophanales; Bacillaceae
Description: bacterial SSU rRNA
Rfam family: Bacterial small subunit ribosomal RNA
Source: RNAcentral
UAGCGGCGGACGGGUGAGUAACACGUGGGCAACCUGCCUGUAAGACUGGGAUAACUUCGGGAAACCGAAGCUAAUACCGGAUAGGAUCUUCUCCUUCAUGGGAGAUGAUUGAAAGAUGGUUUCGGCUAUCACUUACAGAUGGGCCCGCGGUGCAUUAGCUAGUUGGUGAGGUAACGGCUCACCAAGGCAACGAUGCAUAGCCGACCUGAGAGGGUGAUCGGCCACACUGGGACUGAGACACGGCCCAGACUCCUACGGGAGGCAGCAGUAGGGAAUCUUCCGCAAUGGACGAAAGUCUGACGGAGCAACGCCGCGUGAGUGAUGAAGGCUUUCGGGUCGUAAAACUCUGUUGUUAGGGAAGAACAAGUACGAGAGUAACUGCUCGUACCUUGACGGUACCUAACCAGAAAGCCACGGCUAACUACGUGCCAGCAGCCGCGGUAAUACGUAGGUGGCAAGCGUUAUCCGGAAUUAUUGGGCGUAAAGCGCGCGCAGGCGGUUUCUUAAGUCUGAUGUGAAAGCCCACGGCUCAACCGUGGAGGGUCAUUGGAAACUGGGGAACUUGAGUGCAGAAGAGAAAAGCGGAAUUCCACGUGUAGCGGUGAAAUGCGUAGAGAUGUGGAGGAACACCAGUGGCGAAGGCGGCUUUUUGGUCUGUAACUGACGCUGAGGCGCGAAAGCGUGGGGG